GCCUGGGUAGCUCAAUCGGUAGAGCGUGUGACUCUUAUUCCCCCAAGAAUAAAUCUCAAGGUCGCGGGUUCGAGCCCCGCCUCGGGCU
Molecule: transfer RNA, 88 nt
Filed under: Trichodelitschia bisporula
Lineage: Eukaryota; Fungi; Ascomycota; Dothideomycetes; Phaeotrichales; Phaeotrichaceae
Rfam family: tRNA
About the family: Transfer RNA (tRNA) molecules are approximately 80 nucleotides in length.
Source: Rfam by way of RNAcentral